This 264-nucleotide ribosomal RNA is filed under the name uncultured bacterium. Its description in RNAcentral is "partial 16S ribosomal RNA". It matches the Rfam family "Bacterial small subunit ribosomal RNA", at positions 91 to 353 of the family's 1533-position model. The record is from RNAcentral.
UUGAGUGGCGGACGGGUGAGUAACGCGUGGGUAACCUGCCCUGUACAGGGGGAUAACAGUCAGAAAUGACUGCUAAUACCGCAUAAGACCACAGCACCGCAUGGUGCAGGGGUAAAAACUCCGGUGGUACAGGAUGGACCCGCGUCUGAUUAGCUGGUUGGUGAGGUAACGGCCCACCAAGGCGACGAUCAGUAGCCGGCCUGAGAGGGUGAACGGCCACAUUGGGACUGAGACACGGCCCAAACUCCUACGGGAGGCAGCAUG